AGGUAGAAGACAUAGUCACUAGCCAAACAGAACAUGGACAAGUCUUUGGUUAAGCUAGGUUUCUUCGUCGUCCUCUUGGUUUUUGCUUCAGUUUUGCAGUGUGAAGCUAAAGAAGAUUCAGACGCAGAAAUUGAUCUGGUUAUACCUUGCUAUGGUCAUUAUGAAUGCCCUGACUGUCCUUGCAUUAACAAUCGCUGCCGAUGUGAUCUAAAUAUGGAAGCAGAAGAAGAAGAAGAUCAAAAGCUCGAGACUCUAUUGCAUGCACACAUGUUCAAAAAGAAUUCCCAUGACAAUAAUAAUUAACUAAUCAGUGUCAUGAAUUUGUGAAUUAAAUUAUUAAAUAAAUGCCAUAGUUGAUUUUAUGCGUGGGAAA
This is a long non-coding RNA of Glycine soja, 373 nucleotides long. RefSeq lists it as uncharacterized. The transcript is spliced from 2 exons. Lineage: Eukaryota; Viridiplantae; Streptophyta; Magnoliopsida; Fabales; Fabaceae. The record is from RefSeq and is a predicted model, not a curated record.